RNAcentral lists this non-coding RNA (29 nucleotides) under Rattus norvegicus (Norway rat). The record is from RNAcentral. Lineage: Eukaryota; Metazoa; Chordata; Mammalia; Rodentia; Muridae.
UGAUGUACGUUUAUGCAGAGGAGUUGUAA